This 487-nucleotide ribosomal RNA is filed under the name Bifidobacterium pseudolongum subsp. pseudolongum. Its description in RNAcentral is "bacterial SSU rRNA". It matches the Rfam family "Bacterial small subunit ribosomal RNA", at positions 36 to 521 of the family's 1533-position model. The record is from RNAcentral. Lineage: Bacteria; Bacillati; Actinomycetota; Actinomycetes; Bifidobacteriales; Bifidobacteriaceae.
CUGGCGCGUGCUUAAACAUGCAAGUCGAACGGNUUUCCUUGGCAGCUUGCUGCCGGGGUGAGAGUGGCGAACGGGUGAGUAAUGCGUGACCGACCUGCCCCAUGCACCGGAAUAGCUCCUGGAAACGGGUGGUAAUGCCGGAUGUUCCACAUGAGCGCAUGCGAGUGUGGGAAAGGCUUUUGCGGCAUGGGAUGGGGUCGCGUCCUAUCAGCUUGUUGGUGGGGUAACGGCCUACCAAGGCGUUGACGGGUAGCCGGCCUGAGAGGGCGACCGGCCACAUUGGGACUGAGAUACGGCCCAGACUCCUACGGGAGGCAGCAGUGGGGAAUAUUGCACAAUGGGCGCAAGCCUGAUGCAGCGACGCCGCGUGCGGGAUGGAGGCCUUCGGGUUGUAAACCGCUUUUGUUCAAUGGCAAGGCACGGUUUCGGCCGUGUUGAGUGGAUUGUUCGAAUAAGCACCGGCUAACUACGUGCCAGCAGCCGCGNU